AGUGAACGCUGGCGGUAGGCCUAACACAUGCAAGUCGAACGGCAGCACAGUAAGAGCUUGCUCUUACGGGUGGCGAGUGGCGGACGGGUGAGGAAUACAUCGGAAUCUACUUUUUCGUGGGGGAUAACGUAGGGAAACUUACGCUAAUACCGCAUACGACCUACGGGUGAAAGCAGGGGAUCUUCGGACCUUGCGCGAUUGAAUGAGCCGAUGUCGGAUUAGCUAGUUGGCGGGGUAAAGGCCCACCAAGGCGACGAUCCGUAGCUGGUCUGAGAGGAUGAUCAGCCACACUGGAACUGAGACACGGUCCAGACUCCUACGGGAGGCAGCAGUGGGGAAUAUUGGACAAUGGGCGCAAGCCUGAUCCAGCCAUGCCGCGUGGGUGAAGAAGGCCUUCGGGUUGUAAAGCCCUUUUGUUGGGAAAGAAAAGCAGCAGGUUAAUACCCCGCUGUUCUGACGGUACCCAAAGAGUAAGCACCGGCUAACUUCGUG
Molecule: ribosomal RNA, 492 nt
Filed under: uncultured bacterium
Lineage: Bacteria
Description: partial 16S ribosomal RNA
Rfam family: Bacterial small subunit ribosomal RNA
Source: RNAcentral